UUUAUGAAUAAUAAAUGCCCCUGCAUUGAGCCAGAGCCUUUAAUUUGCAUAUCAGGAGAGCCUUAGUGCGCGCGUUACUGUGAGCCCUUCCAGCCUGCAUAAAAACCAGAAUCAGAGAGAAAAAGUGCCUUAACAGAGAAUGCUGCUGGAGGGAACGGACAAUCAACAUGUGUCUGCAGCGCGACAGGCUUGUUUCUGAGUGUCCAGGGUCAGCCUCCCAAGGGACCGCUCCAAAGGACUGCAGUGACCUGCCAACACUUCUCCCCUGACAUGCUGCAGUGAGAGGUCAAAGACAAUGUCUGAGGCGGCGGCGGAUCAAUGUGUGACCUUCUCACUUAUAAUCAGGAUUAGGGCAAUUGACCCAUUCAGAUUUUUUCUAAUGUUCUGAAGAUGAUUUUAUUUUUCAAGGAAAUGUGAUGCAUUGCUUUGAUGUAACGAUAACUAUUUAAGUUAUAUUAAAGAAGUAAUUUGUUUCUUGUGAGGCAAGACCAAAGAUAUGAACAGAGGAAAACAAAUAUUGUAAAUGUGUUCCUUUACCAAUAUCAACAAGGUAAAACUUUGUAUGUAAACUAAGCUGAUGAACUAAUCUAUCUAGAUUUUU
This is a long non-coding RNA of Poecilia reticulata (guppy), 601 nucleotides long. RefSeq lists it as uncharacterized. The record is from RefSeq and is a predicted model, not a curated record. Lineage: Eukaryota; Metazoa; Chordata; Actinopteri; Cyprinodontiformes; Poeciliidae.